UGGGGAAUAUUGGACAAUGGGCGCAAGCCUGAUCCAGCAAUGCCGCGUGUGUGAAGAAGGCCUUCGGGUUGUAAAGCACUUUUAUCAGGAGCGAAACGCUGUCGGCUAAUACCCGGCGGAACUGACGGUACCUGAGGAAUAAGCACCGGCUAACUUCGUGCCAGCAGCCGCGGUAAUACGAAGGGUGCAAGCGUUAAUCGGAAUUACUGGGCGUAAAGCGUGCGUAGGCGGUUUCUUAAGUCUGCUGUAAAAUCCCCGGGCUCAACCUGGGAAUGGCAGUGGAUACUGGGAGGCUAGAGUGUGUCAGAGGGUGGUGGAAUUCCCGGUGUAGCGGUGAAAUGCGUAGAGAUCGGGAGGAACAUCAGUGGCGAAGGCGGCCACCUGGGACAACACUGACGCUGAGGCACGAAAGCGUGGGGAGCAAACAGGAUUAGAUACCCUGGUAGUCCACGCCCUAAACGAUGCGAACUGGAUGUUGGUCUCAACUCGGAGAUCAGUGUCGAAGCUAACGCGUUAAGUUCGCCGCCUGGGGAGUACGGUCGCAAGACUGAAACUCAAAUGAAUUGAC
This 568-nucleotide ribosomal RNA is filed under the name uncultured bacterium. Its description in RNAcentral is "partial 16S ribosomal RNA". It matches the Rfam family "Bacterial small subunit ribosomal RNA", at positions 355 to 914 of the family's 1533-position model. The record is from RNAcentral.